RNAcentral lists this ribosomal RNA (118 nucleotides) under Jeotgalibacillus soli. Lineage: Bacteria; Bacillati; Bacillota; Bacilli; Caryophanales; Caryophanaceae. The record is from RNAcentral.
GUCUAGUGAUGAUCGCGAAGAGGUCACACCCGUUCCCAUGCCGAACACGGAAGUUAAGCUCUUCAGCGCCAAUGGUAGUUGGGGGUUUCCCCCUGUGAGAGUAGGACGUCGCUAGGCA